AAAACCAUGCUUUCAGGGAUCAUGUCUAUGGUUUGUUACUGGAGAAGUUUCUCUGAAUGUAGAAUCCCUGAAACCAUGAGGAGGAGGCGCGGGGCUUUCUCCUCAGCAUGAAGCUGGCUCUCGGUGCUGCUUCCACAACCGUCUAUUGCCACUGAUGAUCCUUCUUCUCCUCCUUCCGGAAGUAAGAGGACGUAGUCUGAGUGGA
Molecule: small nucleolar RNA, 205 nt
Organism: Neogale vison (American mink)
Lineage: Eukaryota; Metazoa; Chordata; Mammalia; Carnivora; Mustelidae
Gene: U3
Rfam family: Small nucleolar RNA U3
About the family: Small nucleolar RNAs (snoRNAs) are involved in the processing and modification of rRNA in the nucleolus. There are two main classes of snoRNAs: the box C/D class, and the box H/ACA class. U3 snoRNA is a member of the box C/D class.
Source: Ensembl